RNAcentral lists this ribosomal RNA (230 nucleotides) under Atheresthes stomias (arrowtooth flounder). Its description in RNAcentral is "partial 16S ribosomal RNA". Lineage: Eukaryota; Metazoa; Chordata; Actinopteri; Pleuronectiformes; Pleuronectidae. The record is from RNAcentral.
AUGGAGCUUUAGACAUAAGGACAUACUAUGUUAAAUACACCCUGUUAAGGGCUUGAACCAUAUAGAAUCUGCCCCACUGUCUUCGGUUGGGGCGACCAUGGGGAACACAAAACCCCCACGCGGAAGGGGAGCACACCCCAAAACUUCUUUCCCUCCCACAAACCAGGGCGACAGCCCUAAUCAGCAGAAAUUCUGACCUAAGUGAUCCGGUAAUACCGAUCAACGAACCA